AGUGAACGCUGGCGGUAGGCCUAACACAUGCAAGUCGAGCGGCAGCACAGUAAGAGCUUGCUCUUACGGGUGGCGAGUGGCGGACGGGUGAGGAAUACAUCGGAAUCUACUUUUUCGUGGGGGAUAACGUAGGGAAACUUACGCUAGUACCGCAUACGACCUACGGGUGAAAGCAGGGGAUCUUCGGACCUUGCGCGAUUGAAUGAGCCGAUGUCGGAUUAGCUAGUUGGCGGGGUAAAGGCCCACCAAGGCGACGAUCCGUAGCUGGUCUGAGAGGAUGAUCAGCCACACUGGAACUGAGACACGGUCCAGACUCCUACGGGAGGCAGCAGUGGGGAAUAUUGGACAAUGGGCGCAAGCCUGAUCCAGCCAUACCGCGUGGGUGAAGAAGGCCUUCGGGUUGUAAAGCCCUUUUGUUGGGAAAGAAAAGCAGCAGGUUAAUACCCCGCUGUUCUGACGGUACCCAAAGAAUAAGCACCGGCUAACUUCGUG
RNAcentral lists this ribosomal RNA (492 nucleotides) under uncultured bacterium. RNAcentral describes it as "partial 16S ribosomal RNA". It matches the Rfam family "Bacterial small subunit ribosomal RNA", at positions 29 to 507 of the family's 1533-position model. The record is from RNAcentral.